UACGGAGGGUGCAAGCGUUACCCGGAUUUACUGGGUUUAAAGGGUGUGUAGGCGGGCUUUUAAGUCAGUGGUGAAAUCUCCGGGCUCAACCUGGAAACUGCCAUUGAUACUAUUAGUCUUGAAUUUUGUUGAGGUAGGCGGAAUAAGUCAUGUAGCGGUGAAAUGCAUAGAUAUGACUUAGAACACCAAUUGCGGAGGCAGCUUGCUAAACAAAUAUUGACGCUGAGGCACGAAAGCGUGGGGAUCAAACAGG
This 253-nucleotide ribosomal RNA is filed under the name uncultured bacterium. RNAcentral's name for it is "partial 16S ribosomal RNA". It matches the Rfam family "Bacterial small subunit ribosomal RNA", at positions 524 to 776 of the family's 1533-position model. The record is from RNAcentral.